RNAcentral lists this transfer RNA (71 nucleotides) under Loxodonta africana (African savanna elephant). It matches the Rfam family "tRNA". Rfam says of the family: Transfer RNA (tRNA) molecules are approximately 80 nucleotides in length. Their secondary structure includes four short double-helical elements and three loops (D, anti-codon, and T loops). Further hydrogen bonds mediate the characteristic L-shaped molecular structure. tRNAs have two regions of fundamental functional importance: the anti-codon, which is responsible for specific mRNA codon recognition, and the 3' end, to which the tRNAs corresponding amino acid is attached (by aminoacyl-tRNA synthetases). tRNAs cope with the degeneracy of the genetic code in two manners: having more than one tRNA (with a specific anti-codon) for a particular amino acid; and 'wobble' base-pairing, i.e. permitting non-standard base-pairing at the 3rd anti-codon position. Lineage: Eukaryota; Metazoa; Chordata; Mammalia; Proboscidea; Elephantidae. The record is from Rfam by way of RNAcentral.
ACAGUGGUGCUUCAGUGGUAGAGUUCUUGCCUUCCAUGCAGGAGACUUGGGUUCAAAUCCUGGUCAAUGCA